AGUGAACGCUGGCGGUAGGCCUAACACAUGCAAGUCGAACGGCAGCACAGUAAGAGCUUGCUCUUACGGGUGGCGAGUGGCGGACGGGUGAGGAAUACAUCGGAAUCUACUUUUUCGUGGGGGAUAACGUAGGGAAACUUACGCUAAUACCGCAUACGACCUACGGGUGAAAGCAGGGGAUCUUCGGACCUUGCGCGAUUGAAUGAGCCGAUGUCGGAUUAGCUAGUUGGCGGGGUAAAGGCCCACCAAGGCGCCGAUCCGUAGCUGGUCUGAGAGGAUGGUCGGCCGCACUGGAGCUGGGACGCGGACAAGACUCCUACGGGAGGCAGCAGUCGGGAAUAGUGGACAAUGGGCGCAAGCCUGAUCCAGCCAGACCGAGUGGGAGAAAAAGGCCUUCGGGUUGUAAAGCCGUUUUGUUGGGAAAGAAAAGCAGCAGGUUAAUACCCCGCUGCUGUGACGGUACCCAAAAAAUAAGCACCGGCUAACUUCGUG
RNAcentral lists this ribosomal RNA (492 nucleotides) under uncultured bacterium. RNAcentral describes it as "partial 16S ribosomal RNA". It matches the Rfam family "Bacterial small subunit ribosomal RNA", at positions 29 to 507 of the family's 1533-position model. The record is from RNAcentral.